RNAcentral lists this ribosomal RNA (1342 nucleotides) under Bacillus sp. CK4. Its description in RNAcentral is "bacterial SSU rRNA". It matches the Rfam family "Bacterial small subunit ribosomal RNA", at positions 53 to 1393 of the family's 1533-position model. The record is from RNAcentral. Lineage: Bacteria; Bacillati; Bacillota; Bacilli; Caryophanales; Bacillaceae.
ACAUGCAAGUCGAACGGUCAGAUGGGAGCUUGCUCCCUGAUGUUAGCGGCGGACGGGUGAGUAACACGUGGGUAACCUGCCUGUAAGACUGGGAUAACUCCGGGAAACCGGGGCUAAUACCGGAUGGUUGUUUGAACCGCAUGGUUCAAACAUAAAAGGUGGCUUCGGCUACCACUUACAGAUGGACCCGCGCGCGCAUUAGCUAGUUGUGAGGUAAUGGCUCACCAAGGCAACGAUGCGUAGCCGACCUGAGAGGGUGAUCGCCACACUGGGACUGAGACACGGCCACACUCCUACGGGAGCCAGCAGUAGGGAAUCUUCCGCAAGGACGAAAGUCUGACGGAGCAACGCCGCGUGAGUGAUGAAGGUUUUCGGAUCGUAAAGCUCUGUUGUUAGGGGAAGAACAAGUACCGUUCGAAUAGGGCGGUACCUUGACGGUACCUAACUAGAAAGCCACGGCUAACUACGUGCCAGCAGCCGCGGUAAUACGUAGGUGGCAAGCGUUGUCCGGAAUUAUUGGGCGUAAAGGGCUCGCAGGCGGUUUCUUAAGUCUGAUGUGAAAGCCCCCGGCUCAACCGGGGAGGGUCAUUGGAAACUGGGGAACUUGAGUGCAGAAGAGGAGAAUAGAAUUCACGUGUAGCGGUAAAUGCGUAGAGAUGUGGAGGAACACCAGUGGCGAAGGCGACUCUCUGUCUGUAACUGACGCUGAGGCGCGAAAGCGUGGGGAGCGAACAGGAUUAGAUACCCUGUAGUCCACGCCGUAAACGAUGAGUGCUAGUGUUAGAGGGUUUCCGCCCACUAGUGCUGCAGCAAACGCAUUAAGCACUCCGCCUGGGGAGUACGGUCGCAAGACUAAACUCAAAGGAAUUGACGGGGCCGCACCAGCGGUGGAGCAUGUGGUUUAAUUCGAAGCAACGCGAAGAACCUACCAGGUCUUGACAUCCUCUGACAACCCUAGAGAUAGGGGUUCUUCGGGGGCAGAGUGACAGGUGGUGCAUGGUUGUCGUCAGCUCGUGUCGUGAGAUGUUGGGUUAAGUCCCGCAACGAGCGCAACCCUUGAUCUUAGUUGCCAGCAUUCAGUUGGGCACUCUAAGGUGACUGCCGGUGACAAACCGGAGGAAGGUGGGGAUGACGUCAAAUCAUCAUGCCCCUUAUGACCUAGGCUACACACGUGCUACAAUGGGCAGAACAAAGGGCAGCGAAGCCGCGAGGCUAGCCAAUCCCACAAAUCUCUUCUCAGUUCGGAUCGCAGUCUGCAACUCGACUCCGUGAAGCUUGAAUCGCUAGUAAUCGCGGAUCAGCAUGCCGCGGUCAAUACGUUCCCGGGCCUGGUACACACCGC